Molecule: ribosomal RNA, 442 nt
Filed under: uncultured bacterium
Lineage: Bacteria
Description: partial 16S ribosomal RNA
Rfam family: Bacterial small subunit ribosomal RNA
Source: RNAcentral
CUACGGGCCGCACCAGUGGGGAAUAUUGCGCAAUGGGGGAAACCCUGACGCAGCGACGCCAUGUGAAGGAUGAAGGCUCUAGGGUCGUAAACUUCUGUCUAGAGGGAAGAAUUAAUUGACGGUACCUCUAAAGAAAGCACCGGCUAACUCUGUGCCAGCAGCCGCGGUAAUACAGAGGGUGCAAGCGUUAUUCGGAAUUACUAGGUGUAAAGGGCAUGUAGGCGGUUUGAUAAGUUAGAUGUGGAAUUCCAUAGCUCAGCUGUGGACCUGCAUCUAAAACUAUUAGACCUGAGUAUGGAAUGGGAAAACGGAAUUUCUAGUGUAGCGGUGGAAUGUGUAGAUACUAGAAGGAACACCGAUGGCGAAAGCGGUUUUCUGGUCCAAUACUGACGCUAAGGUGCGAAAGCUAGGGGAGCAAACGGGAUUAGAUACCCGCGUAGUC